RNAcentral lists this long non-coding RNA (337 nucleotides) under Trifolium pratense (red clover). RNAcentral describes it as "long non-coding RNA (TPRA_LNC014097)". Lineage: Eukaryota; Viridiplantae; Streptophyta; Magnoliopsida; Fabales; Fabaceae. The record is from RNAcentral.
ACAUAUUGUGCCCAGAUUCGUAGUGAAAGAUAGAGGCUCCGUCCUCAUGGCUUGAUUGAAACAUUUUUCUUCGUUGGUUGGAUAACUGAACAAAGUUAUUCAUUAAUAUUUAAGAAAAUGGGUAGAAUUAAUAGUUUAUUGAGUUGAUUUGAUACACAAUCACCUCUUGCAUAACAAUGAAAAUGGUGUUCCUUUUUUUCUUCAGAUCUGGAAAAAUGGUUUUUGCUGAAGAUUUUAAGGUGAGAGGGGAUUUGGUAUGAAUUUGUUUUUAUUUUUUAAAAAAAUUAAUGUUUUGAUAGAUGAAUUCUGGCCAGAGAGAUUGGAGAUAAGUUUAUUG